Molecule: ribosomal RNA, 253 nt
Filed under: uncultured bacterium
Lineage: Bacteria
Description: partial 16S ribosomal RNA
Rfam family: Bacterial small subunit ribosomal RNA
Source: RNAcentral
GACGAACCGUCCAAACGUUAUUCGGAAUUAUUGGGCUUAAAGGGUGCGUAGGCUGUGCAGUAAGUUGGGUGUGAAAUCCCUCGGCUCAACCGAGGAACUGCGCCGAAUACUGCUGUGCUAGAGGAAGAUAGGGGAGUGUGGAAUUCCCAGUGUAGCGGUGAAAUGCGCAGAUAUUGGGAGGAACACCAGUGGCGAAGGCGGCACUCUGGGCCAGUACUGACACUGAGGAGCGAAAGCGUGGGUAGCGAACAGG